AGCGAGAGAAACUCCAACACACCGUCCAUCAGAAGAGCCUCCAGCUACAGGUGAUACUGAAAAGGAGAGAAUGUGGUGUAUUGAGCUUUAGGGACAAGGAAAUCUGAAGAAGCAACACAAUCUUUCUCUGAUUCCCAUCUGAAGAAAGUUUCCACUGGUCUGUGUGUUUGUUGUGUAACAGAAUCAGAUUCUUUUCUUUUCCAAAUUGUAGCUUUUCCAUUACAUUGGUAAAGGUUAACGUCUCAUCAGUCCAUUAUCAGUUCAUGGGCUUGUCUCUGUACUUCAUAGCAGAUUCCAGCCUAGUCUUCCUAUUCUUCUGGGUAAUUAGUGGUUUUCAUCUUCAUGUGGAUUUUAUGGAUUUCUGUUCAUUAAGUCCUUUAUGAACAGUAGACUGUAUUACCUUCAUCCCUGCCCUCUGGAGGAUGUUGCUAAUGUUAUUAACAGUUGUUUUAGGGUUUUUCUUUACAGCACUCCCGUCAUCAACUGCUGUGGUUUUCCUUGAACUACCUGUUCAACAGCUGUUACUUAGUACACCAGUGGCGAGGGUUGUUUUAAGGCAUUUUUAGGCCCCAAGCAAAAUGGACCCCACCCUCUCUGACACCCUUGGACCACAGCAAAAAAAAUAUAUAACAACCAACUUAUAAAGAAAUUUGUAGUGUUGCAUAGUAACUAUGAAGGAGGGCCCCAUAUUCAAAAAUCUAAAUAAUGUCCAGUAAAAAAUAUUUGUGAUCAUUUUAUAACAAUGUUACAUAUUGAAAUUAACUAUUAACAGUUUAGAGAAAUUUACUAUACCUUCAGUGCAGUAAUUUAUCCAAUGUAAAUUAUGGCUUACCACUGUUGUUUUAUUUUUAUUUUUAUUUAUUUCUCUCCUUUCUUUUCUGGCUUCCUGGAUGGUUAAAUAACUGAGCUUAAACAUUUAGUAUUUUGCCGGCUGCAGGACUAAUGACAAUGGCUCACUGACAACUGUCAUUAACUAGUAGAAGGGGGGCCCCAGAUUCUUUCCUACAUUGACCAUCACAGAACUCACACAUUUUAUCGUUGUAUUUAAUUCAAACACAAGUCAUUGUCUGGGGGACCCAGGCCAUCUUGAGGAGCCAGGUCAGCGUGCGAUCCUAGGGCAUUGAUUUGUUUGCUUGUCUUGUUGCAGCAGUUGUACUGGUCAUAGCCAGUAUUUGUGCAAUAUCUCUGAUUUUCCAUCUUUUCUCAGCUUCAAAAUUGCCCAUAGACAUUUCUCUGGUUUUCAUGUUGGUUACUUCUUUAACUAUAAAUACACAGUCUGCACAGGCAAAACCCAAUGUAAAACUGAGCGUAGACAUUUAGCACUAUUAUUUUUUUAAAUGUAUCAGGACACACCUGGGCACCCAAACACAACUGCCAGUCACAUGUUCCAAUACGUUAGCUCCCAAGAAAACUGGGUGGAUUCAUACAAAGGGUGCUAUCUGUUUAUCUAACUGUAUAUCAGAUUCAGAUGUAAAUACCUGCAAAUAAAAGCUGAAAUGUU
This is a long non-coding RNA of Astyanax mexicanus (Mexican tetra), 1501 nucleotides long. RefSeq lists it as uncharacterized. The record is from RefSeq and is a predicted model, not a curated record. NCBI's taxonomy places the organism in Eukaryota, Metazoa, Chordata, Actinopteri, Characiformes, Acestrorhamphidae. The transcript is spliced from 2 exons.